GUCCGUCUAGCUCAGCGUUGUCUACACUGAGCAGGAGACUCUCAUUCCCAGGGUUGUGGGUUCGAGCCCCACGUUGUGCA
Molecule: non-coding RNA, 80 nt
Organism: Podarcis lilfordi (Lilford's wall lizard)
Lineage: Eukaryota; Metazoa; Chordata; Lepidosauria; Squamata; Lacertidae
Source: the annotation of a GenBank genome assembly